Molecule: non-coding RNA, 2772 nt
Organism: Coturnix japonica (Japanese quail)
Lineage: Eukaryota; Metazoa; Chordata; Aves; Galliformes; Phasianidae
Source: RefSeq, a predicted model, not a curated record
GUACCGUGCCGCCCCUCAGCGCUCCGCCCGGCCCCGCCGCCCCCCGGCUGCUCGCGUGGUCGGAAGUGGCGCCGUUUGUGGAGCUUUUCGCCGCCCUAAGGAGGGGAUUUGCAGCGCUGGUCGUCGCUCGGAGCUCGUUUGGAUGCUCGUGACUCAGAAAGCUUCUCUGCAGCUGUUCCCUUGAAAUAACGCCCUUAGAAGCUGUGAACGCAGAAAGGAAAACUUGAGGCGGUGGUUUCCAGCGUCAGCCAGUUGGGCACCCCCAUCCAGCCGGAGAGCGGCGAUGUGCUGCCAUGCGAGGGGCAGGAGCAAGUCCUGCCUUGGGGACAGCGAUACCAUUCCGUAAAGCAGCGGGGAUCCCAUAGGGAAGGAGAUCUUGUAAUCCGGGCCAUAUUACUUAUAUUAGUACACCUGGGACUAGUCAUUAUUCUAGUACACAGAGCUGAGAUCUGAAACCCCCAAACCAGACACCGCUUACCAUAUUAGUACUGGCUCAAACAAGAGGAAUGGCAACUUGAAAGUAGUAGGAAGAAAGGUUCUUGUUGUCAAGCUGAGGCAGAAAUAUUCAACACUUCUAUUUUCUUACCUGUGGGUAAUGCUAAACUGUCUGUCUGCUAAAUGGGUGGAAAACACUUAGGGGAAGUGGUAGAAUUGGAAAAAGAGUCUCUUGAAAUUGUCCAUUGAUUUGAUAAGGUAUGCAUGCAGGCAGCAUUCUGGGUGGGAUGCAAAUACUCACACUCCUCCCUACUCCAUUUCCCCCCCUCUCACAUGCAAAGUUGUACGUAUCUGUAUUAUAGUUUUACAUAACUGAUCCCAGUAAAAAGCUGGCCUUUUUCAGUAUUGCAUUCUGCAUUAUUUGAACUGCCUUUUGGACAACAAAAUCUGAUCAUCUUUCUUUGUUUAACAUGUAUGUUUCCAUCGGCAUUCUUGAAGAGGUGGGAUCCUAAUGAAGGAUGGAUUGUUGGAGAGUGAUUUUCAGGUAGUGAAACAUCAGAGUGUGAACUACCAAGGAAGAGGAGCAAGCAAUAGGAGCUACGGCAAGUACAGACCAGGAGCAAGAGAAACAAUGCAUAAGGUUAUUCUUUCAAAUCAACAAGUACAUGUAUACUAUAUGUAAGUAUCGUUCUGUCAGCAUCCUUCAGUGCAACCCUCUGAAUUUGGCCCUCCUGGUUCCCACGGGCAAAUGAACAAGCCAUAGCAGGCAGUGAUUCUAUCGCAGCUUCCCACUCCCAGGUUUCAGCCAUCUGCUCUCCCUCACACUCAGAAAUUUAGUGCACGACACAGCAAUAAAAUGAGAUUCUGAUAUGGAGGCUGUGUACAGACUCACUCUGUGAAGUGUCCUUCCUGGCAGGAAAACUACAAUGAAAACAGUGAUGAUUGAGGCUAUUAGUAAGGACUUUUUGAAAAAAGGCAUGAGGUGCAUUCAAGAUUGUCUAUUAACAACAACAACAUUGUAAAUCCAUUGAUUUUGGAACAGUAGAAAGAAUCAUACUGCCACUGCCAAGCAAGAAUACAAAGACAUCUCUUAAUGAAGGGCAGAAGAUGGCAAUGUUCCUUCCACCAAUAACCCUGUACAACAGAGGAGGGCAGGAGCUGAACAAAACUCAGUAUGUCAUUCUCUAGAUCCGUCAACUGAAAGUAGAAUGGAUUGAGUACUGUGUAAAGCCUCAGGCAGAUGCCACAUUCCAAAUCAUGGUGUUAGCUUUCAACUGUUUAACCCUAAUAGGCAGUGGAAAAGCUGAUAAUGAUGAUGAAAAAGCUUAUUCAUGCUGAUAAGCUAACUUGACAAAUAGUGGAUGAAUUUGUUACAGAUAUCCAAAGCGUUACCUUUCCCAUUGUGAAGCACUCCUGCUGAUGUUCCUCUCAUCUUUGCUGCCUGACUCAUGCCACUAGGCAUUGUAUUUCUCCCAUCCAGAUACGCUGUGGAAUGGAAAUUCUUCAGCUGCAAUUCAUAUAGGAUCUGAAAAACGACCCAGAAAAUUGGGCGAGUCCUCUUAACUUUUCUGUCUGCUGUCUCUUUUCCUUUAAGCACUCCUCGUAAUGCUGUUCCCAGGAGGAAUCUGCAAGAAAUUCAACUGCAAAUUUUGAUAUUGAAGAGCUACUUGGAAGUCAUCCGUAUCAUGGCCUGAAAAUGGCAUCCGAUAAGUGGAAAGAAAAAGACUAUAAAGUAAAUACCCUUGUGGUAGUAUUAAGAGCAAAGAGAGGUAAAAAAGGGAAGACACUUCACAUGUGACUGAGAAUGUGCGUCGAAAGGCAUAACUCAUGUCAGUCAGAAAAAAGAUGGCAGCAUCUGUGUAUGGCCUACACACAACUAAAUCAAAUUGUUGGAAGAGAAUCUGAUCUAUUAUCAUGACAAUUCCUAAAGACAUUGACGGCUGUCUUAGAUCACAGACAUGAAGAGCAAGGUGUCCAGUCACAUCCCUUCAUCCCAAGCAGACGCAGUGGUGAUGCAAAAGGACAGCUUGUAAUAAACAGUCCCUGGAUGAGUGUUGUCUGUCUCCUCAAAGGAAAAGGCAGGAAGCCAGACAGAAGUAUCUUGCAGACCCAAAUCUGGUCUUCGCGCAGUCAGCUGGACCACUUUGUGUGCAGUGUGCUAUCCAGCAGAUGGCUCAUCUACACUUUCAGAAGUCAUGUAAUGACUAUCGUUGUGUGAUUAAGCUGUGGCUGCAGUUACUUUUACUAUGAAUGCUUUUAUUUUUGAAUUUAUUCUGGAUUCUCAUAUCCAUUCCAUUUAUGCUUCACAAUGAAUGCUGCUCCAGUUCUAAUUUUAAA